This 745-nucleotide ribosomal RNA is filed under the name Salmonella enterica. Its description in RNAcentral is "partial 23S ribosomal RNA". It matches the Rfam family "Bacterial large subunit ribosomal RNA", at positions 2058 to 2802 of the family's 2925-position model. The record is from RNAcentral. Lineage: Bacteria; Pseudomonadati; Pseudomonadota; Gammaproteobacteria; Enterobacterales; Enterobacteriaceae.
GAUGCAGUGUACCCGCGGCAAGACGGAAAGACCCCGUGAACCUUUACUAUAGCUUGACACUGAACAUUGAGCCUUGAUGUGUAGGAUAGGUGGGAGGCUUUGAAGUGUGGACGCCAGUCUGCAUGGAGCCGACCUUGAAAUACCACCCUUUAAUGUUUGAUGUUCUAACGUGGACCCGUAAUCCGGGUUGCGGACAGUGUCUGGUGGGUAGUUUGACUGGGGCGGUCUCCUCCUAAAGAGUAACGGAGGAGCACGAAGGUUGGCUAAUCCUGGUCGGACAUCAGGAGGUUAGUGCAAUGGCAUAAGCCAGCUUGACUGCGAGCGUGACGGCGCGAGCAGGUGCGAAAGCAGGUCAUAGUGAUCCGGUGGUUCUGAAUGGAAGGGCCAUCGCUCAACGGAUAAAAGGUACUCCGGGGAUAACAGGCUGAUACCGCCCAAGAGUUCAUAUCGACGGCGGUGUUUGGCACCUCGAUGUCGGCUCAUCACAUCCUGGGGCUGAAGUAGGUCCCAAGGGUAUGGCUGUUCGCCAUUUAAAGUGGUACGCGAGCUGGGUUUAGAACGUCGUGAGACAGUUCGGUCCCUAUCUGCCGUGGGCGCUGGAGAACUGAGGGGGGCUGCUCCUAGUACGAGAGGACCGGAGUGGACGCAUCACUGGUGUUCGGGUUGUCAUGCCAAUGGCACUGCCCGGUAGCUAAAUGCGGAAGAGAUAAGUGCUGAAAGCAUCUAAGCACGAAACUUGCCCCGA